CCGAUGUGGAAGCCUCGCCUUAUGCUCCCGUAAAGCGUGCACUCGGGGCUGCUGCCCAAGUCAUCGCAGGGGCUCCUCCUCUCCAUGUCGCCUCAGAGUGGUUUCCGAACCGUGCGAAGUAAUCUCCUCCACAUCCCAUUCUCUGCCUUCGUCGUGACCCUGACUAUAAUCUCGCAAUGAAGUCUUUCCGGGUUCGAAGUUGAGCAGCCAGUCAGGGUGACGCGUGUGCCGUGCCCGUAACGGAUGGAAGUUACGACGGACGCCCUUAUAGAAGCCACGAACGCUGUCCGAUAUUGAUUCUUCAGCAUUGAAGUCUGCUGGCUCUGAAGGCGAUCAUCAUGAAGACAGCCAUCAUUAUUCUGUUCGUUCU
This is a long non-coding RNA of Ornithodoros turicata, 370 nucleotides long. RefSeq lists it as uncharacterized. NCBI's taxonomy places the organism in Eukaryota, Metazoa, Arthropoda, Arachnida, Ixodida, Argasidae. The record is from RefSeq and is a predicted model, not a curated record. The transcript is spliced from 3 exons.